UGGCGACCGGCGCACGGGUGAGUAACACGUAUCCAACCUGCCGAUAACUCGGGGAUAGCCUUUCGAAAGAAAGAUUAAUACCCGAUGGCAUAAUAGAACCGCAUGGUUUGAUUAUUAAAGAAUUUCGGUUAUCGAUGGGGAUGCGUUCCAUUAGGCAGUUGGUGAGGUAACGGCUCACCAAACCUUCGAUGGAUAGGGGUUCUGAGAGGAAGGUCCCCCACAUUGGAACUGAGACACGGCCCAG
This 244-nucleotide ribosomal RNA is filed under the name uncultured bacterium. RNAcentral's name for it is "partial 16S ribosomal RNA". It matches the Rfam family "Bacterial small subunit ribosomal RNA", at positions 89 to 334 of the family's 1533-position model. The record is from RNAcentral.